UCCCUGGUAGCUCAGAGGUUAAAGCGUCUGCCUGCAAUGCGGGAGACCCAGGAUUGACCCCUGGGUUGGGAA
Molecule: transfer RNA, 72 nt
Filed under: Ovis aries (sheep)
Lineage: Eukaryota; Metazoa; Chordata; Mammalia; Artiodactyla; Bovidae
Rfam family: tRNA
About the family: Transfer RNA (tRNA) molecules are approximately 80 nucleotides in length.
Source: Rfam by way of RNAcentral